AGCGAACGCUGGCGGCAGGCCUAAUACAUGCAAGUCGAACGGUCUCUUCGGAGGCAGUGGCGGACGGGUGAGUAACGCGUGGGAAUAUGCCCUUUGGUACGGAACAACUGAGGGAAACUUCAGCUAAUACCGUAUGUGCCCUUCGGGGGAAAGAUUUAUCGCCAUUGGAGUAGCCCGCGUUGGAUUAGGUAGUUGGUGGGGUAAAGGCCUACCAAGCCUACGAUCCAUAGCUGGUCUGAGAGGAUGAUCAGCCACACUGGGACUGAGACACGGCCCAGACUCCUACGGGAGGCAGCAGUAGGGAAUCUUGCGCAAUGGGCGAAAGCCUGACGCAGCCAUGCCGCGUGAAUGAUGAAGGUCUUAGGAUUGUAAAAUUCUUUCACCGGGGAAGAUAAUGACGGUACCCGGAGAAGAAGCCCCGGCUAACUUCGUGCCAGCAGCCGCGGUAAUACGAAGGGGGCUAGCGUUGCUCGGAAUUACUGGGCGUAAAGGGCGCGUAGGCGGAUAGUUUAGUCAGAGGUGAAAGCCCAGGGCUCAACCUUGGAACUGCCUUUGAUACUGGCUAUCUUGAGUUCGGGAGAGGUGAGUGGAAUGCCGAGUGUAGAGGUGAAAUUCGUAGAUAUUCGGCGGAACACCAGUGGCGAAGGCGACUCACUGGCCCGAUAC
This 666-nucleotide ribosomal RNA is filed under the name uncultured bacterium. RNAcentral describes it as "bacterial SSU rRNA". It matches the Rfam family "Bacterial small subunit ribosomal RNA", at positions 28 to 740 of the family's 1533-position model. The record is from RNAcentral.